Molecule: ribosomal RNA, 232 nt
Filed under: Erwinia mallotivora
Lineage: Bacteria; Pseudomonadati; Pseudomonadota; Gammaproteobacteria; Enterobacterales; Erwiniaceae
Description: partial 16S ribosomal RNA
Rfam family: Bacterial small subunit ribosomal RNA
Source: RNAcentral
UUUAAUUGAAGAGUUUGAUCAUGGCUCAGAUUGAACGCUGGCGGCAGGCCUAACACAUGCAAGUCGAACGGUAGCACAGGGGAGCUUGCUCCCCGGGUGACGAGUGGCGGACGGGUGAGUAAUGUCUGGGAAACUGCCCGAUGGAGGGGGAUAACUACUGGAAACGGUAGCUAAUACCGCAUAACGUCGCAAGACCAAAGUGGGGGACCUUCGGGCCUCACACCAUCGGAUG